This 475-nucleotide ribosomal RNA is filed under the name bacterium BSD16-11. Its description in RNAcentral is "bacterial SSU rRNA". It matches the Rfam family "Bacterial small subunit ribosomal RNA", at positions 59 to 514 of the family's 1533-position model. The record is from RNAcentral.
CAGUCGAGCGGAACGAGUUAACUGACCCUUCGGGUGACGUUAACGGCGUCGAGCGGCGGACGGGUGAGUAAUGCCUGGGAAAUUGCCCUGAUGUGGGGGAUAACCAUUGGAAACGAUGGCUAAUACCGCAUAAUGCCUUCGGGCCAAAGAGGGGGACCUUCGGGCCUCUCGCGUCAGGAUAUGCCCAGGUGGGAUUAGCUAGUUGGUGAGGUAAUGGCUCACCAAGGCGACGAUCCCUAGCUGGUCUGAGAGGAUGAUCAGCCACACUGGAACUGAGACACGGUCCAGACUCCUACGGGAGGCAGCAGUGGGGAAUAUUGCACAAUGGGCGCAAGCCUGAUGCAGCCAUGCCGCGUGUGUGAAGAAGGCCUUCGGGUUGUAAAGCACUUUCAGCAGUGAGGAAGGCGGGUACGUUAAUAGCGUGCUCGUUUGACGUUAGCUGCAGAAGAAGCACCGGCUAACUCCGUGCCAGCAG